RNAcentral lists this ribosomal RNA (336 nucleotides) under Blauneria heteroclita. Its description in RNAcentral is "partial 12S ribosomal RNA". The record is from RNAcentral. Lineage: Eukaryota; Metazoa; Mollusca; Gastropoda; Ellobiida; Ellobiidae.
AUAAACUAGGAUUAGAUACCCUAUUAUACGGAGCUCAAAAUUAACGCUGAAGCACUAAAGCUUUUAUAGCUAAAACUUAAAGAGCAUGGCGGCGGGCCAAAAUUUCAGGGGAAUUUACCCGGUAAUUGAUAACCCGCAAGAGGUGCCACAUGUUUUUAUCGUUUGUAUACCGCCGUCUUCAGGUGUNGUCUAAGAUAGCACCAACCCUCAAAAAAAAGCAGAAAGACAGGCCAUGGUGCAGCUUAUAAGCAUGAACUGGGCGAGUUACAAUUAGUAUUUNUAUCAGUACCUAAGAAUAAAAACUUAGUAAAGAUGGACUGAAAGUAAUUAAAGAAA